AGUGAACGCUGGCGGUAGGCCUAACACAUGCAAGUCGAACGGCAGCACAGUAAGAGCUUGCUCUUACGGGUGGCGAGUGGCGGACGGGUGAGGAAUACAUCGGAAUCUACUUUUUCGUGGGGGAUAACGUAGGGAAACUUACGCUAAUACCGCAUACGACCUACGGGUGAAAGCAGGGGAUCUUCGGACCUUGCGCGAUUGAAUGAGCCGAUGUCGGAUUAGCUAGUUGGCGGGGUAAAGGCCCACCAAGGCGACGAUCCGUAGCUGGACUGAGAGGAUGAUCAGCCACACUGGAACUGAGACACGGUCCAGACUCCUACGGGAGGCAGCAGUGGGGAAUAUUGGACAAUGGGCGCAAGCCUGAUCCAGCCAUACUGCGUGGGUGAAGAAGGCCUUCGGGUUGUAAAGCCCUUUUGUUGGGAAAGAAAAGCAGCAGGUUAAUACCCCGCUGUUCUGACGGUACCCAAAGAAUAAGCACCGGCUAACUUCGUG
RNAcentral lists this ribosomal RNA (492 nucleotides) under uncultured bacterium. Its description in RNAcentral is "partial 16S ribosomal RNA". It matches the Rfam family "Bacterial small subunit ribosomal RNA", at positions 29 to 507 of the family's 1533-position model. The record is from RNAcentral.